UACGUAGGGGGCGAGCGUUGUCCGGAAUCAUUGGGCGUAAAGGGCGCGUAGGUGGUUCUGUAUGUCUACCGUGAAAGCGUACGGCUCAACCGUAUUUUGUCGGUAGAAACUGCAGGACUUGAGGCUGGGAGGGGCUGGUGGAAUUCCCUGUGUAGCGGUGAAAUGCGUAGAGAUGGGGGAGAACACUCGUGGCGAAGGCGGCCAGCUAGACCAGUUCUGACACUGAGGCGCGACAGCGUGGGGAGCAAACAGG
Molecule: ribosomal RNA, 253 nt
Filed under: uncultured bacterium
Lineage: Bacteria
Description: partial 16S ribosomal RNA
Rfam family: Bacterial small subunit ribosomal RNA
Source: RNAcentral